AGCGAACGCUGGCGGCAGGCUUAACACAUGCAAGUCGAGCGGGCGUAGCAAUACGUCAGCGGCAGACGGGUGAGUAACGCGUGGGAACGUACCUUUUGGUUCGGAACAACACAGGGAAACUUGUGCUAAUACCGGAUAAGCCCUUACGGGGAAAGAUUUAUCGCCGAAAGAUCGGCCCGCGUCUGAUUAGCUAGUUGGUGUGGUAACGGCGCACCAAGGCGACGAUCAGUAGCUGGCUGAGAGGAUGAUCAGCCACAUUGGGACUGAGACACGGCCAAACUCCUACGGGAGGCAGCAGUGGGGAAUAUUGGACAAUGGGCGCAAGCCUGAUCCAGCCAUGCCGCGUGAGUGAUGAAGGCCCUAGGGUUGUAAAGCUCUUUUGUGCGGGAAGAUAAUGACGGUACGCAAGAAUAAGCCCCGGCUAACUUCGUGCCAGCCGCCGCAGU
Molecule: ribosomal RNA, 446 nt
Filed under: uncultured bacterium
Lineage: Bacteria
Description: bacterial SSU rRNA
Rfam family: Bacterial small subunit ribosomal RNA
Source: RNAcentral